ACACCUCUCUUUUUCCCUCUUCCUUUCUUUCUUUCUUUUCCCUCUUCUUUCUUUCUUCCAGCCGAAACAUUCAUUUCCCAUUAAAAAAAUUUCAGCAAAAUUUUUUUCCCCCCCCACACCUCUCCUUUUCCCUCUUCCUUCUUUCUUUCUUUUCCCCUUUCUUCUUUCUUUCUACCAACCGAAACAGUCAGCCUCCACUCCCAGCCGAAACGGUCAGCCUCCACCAGCCAGCCCACCUACGACGCCGUCGACGCCAAACCACAAGCCACCUGCGACGGCCGAAGUCCACCAGCCAGCCACCUGCGACGCCGUCGACGGUCUCCUCAUCUUCAAACAGCCGCAAGGUUGUUGGAUGAUAUAUUACAUACCAAUGAGUUGGAUCAUUUGUACGCAUUUCAGCAUCCAUGUGAAGUUAGUGUAGGUCAUGAGAAUAAGUGUGUCCAAGCACUUAAAGAUCGAUUCAUUCAAAUGGGCGAGAAGCAGUUUCUUAUUUGUCCCUGGAAUAACAAUGCUUUCACGCUAUAUGAUACGGAAAAAGGAAAAGAGUUGUAAGUCUAAAGUAUUAUAAUCCAAAAUGCCAACAACAACCAAAAACCACAAAGUGCGGUAGCUACUGCAUGAAGUAUGCUAGGGAUCUCAUUUCACAAUAAAGAACCAGAGCAUAUCUAUCGAAUAAUUUCAAUUCAAAUUUACCAUAUACUGACGCUGAACUUAAUGAAGUUCAAGAAGAGUGAGCAAAAUAUAUUCUACCGCAACUCGCUAAAUGAUGGCAUACAUGCUAAGUACCUAUGUGAGGGGAUUUAGUCAUUUUUUGAAAUUUGUAUUUCUUUUAUUAGAAAUUGUUAGAAUUAAUCAAAUAAAGAAUUAAUCUAACAAAUUAUAAGUAGUUAAUUUAGUUUUUUGAGGUGCAUACUGUGCUAUGUGCUAAAUAUUCAUUUUAUGACCAAUUUUUUUGGAAUUAUGUAUUUCUUUUAUUUAGAAAGUGUUCGAAUUAAUCAAAUAUAAAGUUAAUGUUACCAAUGUUAA
Long non-coding RNA from Humulus lupulus (European hop), 1026 nucleotides. RefSeq lists it as uncharacterized. The record is from RefSeq and is a predicted model, not a curated record. The transcript is spliced from 5 exons. Lineage: Eukaryota; Viridiplantae; Streptophyta; Magnoliopsida; Rosales; Cannabaceae.